Molecule: long non-coding RNA, 2369 nt
Organism: Coffea eugenioides
Lineage: Eukaryota; Viridiplantae; Streptophyta; Magnoliopsida; Gentianales; Rubiaceae
Exons: 5
Source: RefSeq, a predicted model, not a curated record
UUAUGGCCGACAAUAAAUGUAGCCAGCCAGCAAAGUGAUAGUUUUUAAGCCAUAAGAAUGCUCUGCAUGAGAAUGACCGUGGAGAAGCUUGAUAUAUUGGAACAAAAGUCUUCAGCUAUCAUGGUUUCCUGUUAUAUGGUGAUCAGAUGAGUGCCUACACAUUCUUGGCACUUGCAAAAUGAUGGUUUGUUUGCUAGGUGAGGGCUUUCUAGUUUCAAAUAGAUCCAUUAGGGCACUCCCAAAAGAAACUCUUUCUCCUCCUUUGUAUGGAGACAAUUUAGGCAAUACCAAGUUUAGUUUUAGAGUCUACAAUGAACCAUUUUAAAAACACAUGGAAUAGUAUAGAGGGCUGAGGGUCUAAUAGGUUUUCUUUAGGCUUCGAGCUCUCCAACAUGCUGUAACAAAGAUUAUUUGGGUUGGCUAAGGGGAUUCUCAUGUAUGAGGUAACACUCCUCUUUCUGAUGAAAAAUUUGUGAGUCAGGAAAGCUUUGUCUGACUUUAAAGACAAUUUAAAGGGGUAAUGAUCUGCCAUUCUGCAUAAUCACAUUCACAAGCAUCAGGAAUACUUCUUUUCAGAAUCAUCUUCAGACCAUCCCCAACAAGGCACCGCUUUUUGUAUUUGGAUGGGCUAUGGGGAUUCUCAUGCAUUAGAUAACAUUCCUCUUUCAGAUGAAAAAUUUAUGAUUCAAGAAAACUUUAAAUGACUUCAAAGACAAAUUCAAGCAGCAAUGCUAUUUAAUUGUGAAGCUUUUCGGAUGAUUAAAUUGUCAAGUAGCCUUGAAGCAAUUGCUUGAUAUGUCAUCCAAUUAGAGCUAGUUGGUGUAAUAAUAGGCAACUUUCUAUUUUUUGUUUCGCCCGGUAUGCAAUGAUUUGUAGCUGGUCCUUGAUAUUACUUGUUUAUUUGUGGUUAGCCAACCAGAAUAUUUUCAGGUGGUUGAUCUCUUAGUUGCAGAGUUAGUUCUUAUUCUCUAAUGAAUAUAUGUGUCCGUUAAACAAAAUUAAUUGGGGGAUUACAUUCUUUUAUGUUGUGAAUUCUCAAAUGCAGCUCUGCUUUCUUAUGCAGUUGUUUGAGUGCUAAAAAUCUGAUGAAUGGUCUGAUGACAUGCUUUGAAGUUUCUUGUACAUGAAAAGCUGUGCGUAUCAGCAUAAGCUGUUGUCUCAAUCUGAUGGGGCAAAUACUCUAGUUCAAGGCUAUUACAAAGUUGAUGGAAGAGAUGCCAUGGUUAAUACGCUUCCUUUGCUCAUCUGAUAAAGUUCUCCAACCUGCAUUUUCACGAGACUUUGAUAAUUGUGAUUCUUUGAAAUGAAUUAGAUAAAUGGACUAUGUAAGUCAAAAUUUUUAUGUAGGAGAGGUACAAUUCGAUGCUGAGGUAUAACAUGGAAAUCUUGACUCAUAUCAUUCAACCAUGAAGUGUUCUGAGAGGAAGGAUCAAACUUUUUGGCAAUACAGUUCAUGUGGAAUGCAAUCUGCUGGUGAAAGAGAGUGUCCAUGCCUUGUAAGGGAACUUGUUAUUAAAAAUACUUGGUUCAAAAGGUUUUCUAGUGUCAGUAACCUGAUGUCAAUUUGAUUCAUGACAAACUUGGUGCACCUAAAACAGUCGAAUGGACUAUGGAGAAGGUAAAAAUUUUUAUGUAGGUGAGGUCCAGUUCAAUGCUGGGGUAUACAUGGAAAUCUUGAUUCAUAUCAUUCAACCAGGAAGUGUUCUAAGAGGAAGGAUCAAACUUCUUGGCAAUACAGUUCAUGUGGAUGGCAAUCCACCGGUGAAAGAGAGUGUCCAUGCCUUGUAAGGGAACUGUUAUUAAAAAUACUUGAAAAGGCAUGGCACCUUUUGAGGAACCUUUGCUAUAUUAUCUAAUAGUAUGCAAUGAGGAUAUGACUUUCAAGAAGCUUUCAUCUGUUGAAGGAUUAUAAGUUGGCACAUCUGAAUAGCUUGAGUUGUAAACCUCCUACCAAUCCAUCCGAAGCCUCCCUAUACGAUGCAUAUCUUCUGAUCUAAAGGGAAGGUGUUGCAACAUGAGCAGCUGCCCAACAUUGAAUGGUGCAAGCAUUACCAGAUUCCCUACUUUGAGAUUGAUCAUAUUUUGUCAGAAAAUUCUUGUCUACGCCUAUGUUUAAGGAUGUUUCAGUGCGGUAUAUUCCAACCAUUAUGCUGUCUUCAGUUGUGUGUAUUCAAUCUCAUGAUGCUAUACAUUUUUUUGACAUUUUGAGGAAGAGUUCCUUAUUGCUAGGUGUAAAAGGCAAUGACUAUUACAGCAUAACACAUUCCUUAUUGCUAGAUGUAAAAGUCAAUGAGUAUUACAACAUAACACAUCGUAUAGUGUAUGAUCUUGCACAUGAUCUUGCGCAAUUUAUUUUGAGUUUUGGAAAA